UGGGACGGGGCGCAGCAGGCGCGAAAACUCCGCAAUACACGAAAGUGUGACGGGGCCAUCCCGAGUGCCAUCCGCUGAGGAUGGCUUUUCCCCAGUGUAUAAAGCUGGGGGAAUAAGGAGAGGGCAAGCCUGGUGUCAGCCGCCGCGGUAAUACCAGCUCUCCGAGUGGUGGGGAUGCUUAUUGGGCCUAAAGCAUUCGUAGCCUGCUUGGCAAGUCCUCCGUUAAAUCCAACGAUUCAAUCGUUGGGCUGCGGGGGAUACUGUCCGGCUAGGGGGCGGGAGAGGCCGACGGUAUCCUCGGGGUAGGGGUGAAAUCCUAUAAUCCCGGGAGGACCACCAGUGGCGAAGGCUGUCGGCUAGAACGCGCUCGACGGUGAGGGAUGAAAGCUGGGGGAGCGAACCGGAUUAGAUACCCGGGUAGUCCCAGCUGUAAACGAUGCAGGCUAGGUGUUGGCGCGGCUACGUGCCGCUCCAGUGCCGCAGGGAAGCCGUUAAGCCUGCCGCCUGGGAAGUACGGUCGCAAGGCUGAAACUUAAAGGAAUUGGCGGGGGAGCACCACAAGGUGUGAAGCUUGCGGUUUAAUGGGAGUCAACGCCGGAAAUCUCACCGGGGGCGACAGCAGAAUGAAGGUCAGAUUGAAGGUCUUACCAGACAAGCUGAGAGGAGGUGCAGGGCCGUCGCCAGUUCGUGCCGUGAGGUGUCCUGUUAAGUCAGGCAACGAUCGAGACCCGCGUCCCCUGUUGCCACCGGCCUUGAGCCGAGCGCACUGGGGAGACUGCCGCCGAUAAGACGGAGGAAGGAGCGGGCCACGGCAGGUCAGUAUGCCCCGAAUCCCCCGGGCCACACGCGAGCUGCAAUGGCAGGUACAGAGGGUCCCGACCCCGAAAGGGGAAAGCAAUCCCGAAAGCCUGCCGUAGUUGGGAUCGAGGGUUGAAACUCACCCUCGUGAACAUGGAAUCCCUAGUAAUCGCGUGUCACUAUCGCGCGGUGAAUACGUCCCUGCUCCUUGCACGAAUUCGCCGA
Molecule: ribosomal RNA, 1023 nt
Filed under: uncultured crenarchaeote
Lineage: Archaea; Thermoproteati; Thermoproteota
Description: bacterial SSU rRNA
Rfam family: Archaeal small subunit ribosomal RNA
Source: RNAcentral